Diorhabda carinulata is the source of this 12583-nucleotide RNA transcript. It is a transcript of the gene named PX domain-containing protein kinase-like protein, with no coding region annotated. NCBI's taxonomy places the organism in Eukaryota, Metazoa, Arthropoda, Insecta, Coleoptera, Chrysomelidae. The record is from RefSeq and is a predicted model, not a curated record. The transcript is spliced from 10 exons.
AACGUUUUUAAUUGUCAAAAUACUGAUAGUAAAAUCAGAAAUGGUAGGGUUGGGAAUGAUCAAUUAGGUUGUAUAUAAAUUAUUUCUUAAUGGAUUUUACACACAAAAAUAGGCAAAUGAAUUCGAUUCAAUGGCUAUUUUUGAGCGACAAACCACCAAUAAAGUGUUAUUAGAUGAUACGGAACAAUUAACAUGUACUAUUGAAAACUGGAAAAACGUCAAUGGUCACACUGAAUUUAUUAUAAAAGUAUAUAGAGGACCUUUUUCGGAUCAAACGUGGAAAAUAAGUAAAAGAUACAAUGAUUUUUGUAAGUUGCACAAUGCAUUGCAGUCUUCUGGGAUACCCCUGGAACUACCUCCAAAAAAACUCAUUGGAAAUAUGGACCCACAUUUUCUUGGCGAAAGGCAACAGGGCUUACAGAAAUAUCUAGACAGCAUCCUAAUGAAUCCAAUACUAGUUUCAUCUCUUCCAGCUAGAUCAUUUGUUGAUCCAGCAAAUUAUUGCCAACCAUUUAGAGAGUUGGCUUUACAACAUGUAUCUUUGGCGCUGAGAGGGGAAGUUGGCUGGGAAGUUGUAGGUCCAAUUAAUGAUAUGGGUUGGAGAUUAAGGAAACAUUAUUAUGAAUUAAAAUGUAAAUCUUUACCCAAGGAAGAAAUAUUUGGAGGAUGGACUGAUUACGGUCCCGAUAAAUAUUUGGAUGAUCGAGAGAUGCAUGCUGUUUUUAAAAGCAUUGGUCAGCUACAGCAUCCAUAUAUAUAUCCCAUUGAGCUGUGUUUAUCUACCGAAACUGGGGCAUUGGUGGCUCGAUUGGCACAUAAAAAUGGGACAUUGAGAGAUCUCCUUUCUGGAGCUAAACCGAGACAAUCAUUUUUAAAAAAAUACGGAAAUCCCAAGGGACAUAAAACACUCACGGCAGAGCAAAUAUCUUUGUAUGGUCGGCAAAUAUUAGAGGCGUUGAAGUUUUUACAUGAUAAAGGAUUACCUUAUGGUCAUUUACACACUGGAAAUAUCAUUAUCGAUAACGAUCGAGUAAAACUUCUGGAUAUAGAAAAUGGAGUAUUGGGUGUGCCUUCAUUUUACCGACCAUAUUUUAUGCAACAUAAGAAAAUAAAUAAUUUAGAAGCCAUAGAUGUCUACUGUUUUGGACACGUACUUUACGAAAUGAUGUUUGGGGCUCCGUUGCAUGAAAGCAUAGUUGAUAAUAUGCCAAAUUAUCCUGUAACUGAACUCAGAGAUCUACUUUCUCGAAUACUGUCAUCGGAAGGAUGCAAACAUGGUUUACCGACCAUAAGCGAUCUCUUGUUUGAUCCAUUCUUCUCGGUAGUUCAUUUAUCAUUUUUGCCCACUGACAAAGCUCAUUUAAAACUUGCCACUUCAACGAAGGAACAAUUAAAGCAUGCUGUUCACAAAAUUGAGGAAAGGUUGAGGGAUGAACAAAAAGUUGUCAGGAGUCAAAAAAAGUUGGUCAAAGUCCAAGAGAUGAUGAGUUGUGAAGAAGAGAAAAAGAAACAAGCUAGACACAAAAUGGAAAGAUUAGCUAAGGAACAACAUAAACACAACAGAAGACUGGAAAAGGCUAACAGUAUUAAUGGUGAGAGAUCUGAAAGUGUAAAUAGCAGUGGAGCCACUUCAGUUGGUACAUCCACCCCUCCCUCGACGACUGGAUAUAAUGUUCCAUCGCCACCUCCGCCUCCUCCACCGCCACCUGUGCCGCCGAUAGGUGAUGACAUGCCAUCACUUAUCAAUGGAUCUUCUGUUCCUACAGGGAAUAAAGACCGAUCCGAAUUACUAGGAGCCAUUUGCAAUUUUAAUAAAUCUGCCUUGCGUAAAACCAAAGUUUCUUGAAUUUAUAUUAAAAGAAGGGGUACAGCGGGUAAAGUCGCUUUUAAACAGCAUCUCGUCCCUUACCUAAUUGUGACUGAAAGAAGCAGUACUGAAAGAAGAAGUAACAGCGUUUCUUCUGCGGCCGUUAUUAUAAAGGUCGCAUUUACCUUUAUACAUUAGACUCACAAGCUGGUCUUAUACUACUUUAAAUAUUUAUUGAAUGGAUAAAUCUAACGAACAAGGAUGUAAUUAGAAUUUUUAUUUUAUGCCAUUUUUAUUCUAUGCCAUUCGCAUUAAAAAAAGUAUUUGUUAACUAGUUUUUUAGUAAGUUUUUAAGUUUUAUAUUUCUCAUUAGAUAUUUUAAACAAUUUAAUUCGAUUUAUUAAAACGGUUGAAGUCAAGCAAAAGAAUGAAAUAAUACAAUACACAUUUAAUUUUAUAUUACAAUAAUAAGCGUAUUUUGAUCUUGUUGUAGAUAACGGCGUAGACAUAACUAGUAGCUUUUUUUCGAAUUUAUCACUAUUUCCAGUUUCUUAAAACUAUACAGUCACUUUUAUGUUAAUUAAAAUAUCUGUAUUUCAAUCAAAUCUACUCAAAGCUAAAUAUAUUUGUUGGAGGCAGAUGGUGAAUUCGGCCCGCGGCUGAAAUAAUUGGACAUAUAGCCAUGUGUCCAUACUAGAUAUACCAGAUGCCAAAAAAGACAUACUAUUCGGCAUCUGGAUACCAUUAUUCGAACACAUCCCAAAAUGCCUAUAUACAUCUGAUGAAGGCUGUAAAAUAAAAAUGAUAUUAAAACCAUGUUUGAAUGCAAUUAAUUAACAACCCGAAAUUCAUUUCUUGCAUAUAGUAUCUCUAAAGUUGGUACAAACCCUCUUUCUCUGAUAAUAUAACAGCCAAAACAUUACGAGGAGCCAAACGUCCUCUAUCGACAUCAGGAAUCUUUAACAAAAUGUUCUGUCCAGUUUCAAUUUUGGGAAAUUUGUAGCAACUUUGAUAUAACAUUUCCUCUGCCUGCUUUUUUAAGCUAUUAACACUUUCAGAGCGAUGCUGAUUUAUUGCUUUCAAGUGAGCUUCAUUCUCUCUAAAAUAGAACAUUUUAUUAUUGUGGUUAUCAGAGGUAUUAUUAUUAUUAUCACUUUCAAACAUAUUUGCAAGACUAUUGAAUAUUUGAUUCACAAACUAUCUGUCAUUGUCACUAUGCAUUAGACAGGUAGCUCAGGUGAUACAAAAAAUAUCCAUUAGGUUAUAGACAACUUCUUCGGCUAGUUUAGUUUCCAGAGCUCUUAGGAACACAAAUUCAGUUGAGUGGUCUUGUUAAUUCAUUAUAAAUUUAUAGGAACAUCAGAUUCAUAUCAAUUAAAUCCCCUUUUGUUAAAUCCUGUCGAAAUUAUUGGUUUUACUACCAAACCUUUCUGCUUAGAUUUUUUUAGCUUAUAUAUAGAACAUAAUGUUGAAUAUUCUUCAAUGAUACUUCGGGGAAAAUUACAAUAGGUUUGUUCUUGGUAGCUGCACUUGAACUGUACUGAACUAGACUAGUGCAGGCCAGUUUAUAGUGUAUAGAAUUAGUUCGAUCGGAUACAAAGAAUGAUAUAGUUCAGAGAGAAAUGGAGUAUUUGUUGUAUUUGAGAUUAUUUGAUGUGCUUCAGGCCUUGUAGUAUUAACAAUAAUGGAAGACGAUUGAGUACUUUCGUCCGAUGACGAAGGUGUAGGGCCACCGUUUCCAGAUUUCAAUUAUUGCACUGUCUUGCACUGCACUGGUUGAACUGACUCUAGACCCAGUACAAACAGUACAGCGAACUGGGUGAACUAGCUCUCUUGCACUGCUACUAAGAACAGCGACACUAGCGCUGGUUCUGCUUCAAAGAACGCUUUAGUAUACACUUCCUGAACUAGUUCUGCCAGUGGAGCUACCAAAAACAAAUCUAAUAUUUUUUAACAAUUUUUUUUUCCAUACCUAAUUUUUUUUGUAGCUAGUAUCUUUAUGAUUUCAUACCUAUUUAGACAUCUAUAAUCUUGGCAGCUCAGUUUUUCAUUGCAUUCUUUUUUUCUCAUGCUAUCCUUCACUUGACUUGAAAUAUUGCUCGGUAGUCAAUACGGUGGUAAAAUGAUUACCACUAUUUUUCUCAAUCAACGUAAUGAGUUUUUUUUUUCAAAAGUAUGCUGAUCAACUAAAUGUUGAUCAGCCUCCAUUGUUACAAUAAAUGAUUUACUCACAAAUUUUUAUGAAUAAUGCAAAAACCACUGACAAACAAACUGCACGUUAGCACUAAUUUAAGGUUAGGUUGAUUUUUUUUGCAAAUUAAGUCAAAAGGCGAAUUUCGGCAUCUGGCAUGUCUAGCAUCUGCCUCCAACAUAUUAAUUCUACCAACAGCCUAGUGAAGGAUCUUAUCCUUAUAUUAUUGGCAAACCUUUUUUAAUAAAUAUUUGGAAUUGUUAAUUAUAAAACCAAAAUAAAAAAAAAUUAUUCUUGAUCGUUAGAAAUGUUGGUGGAUAUUCUUACCAGAGAAACAUUUGUAAAUUAAUUUUUUGUACGUAAAAUUUUUUGUUUUUAUCUAUACAAGUAUUCGAUUAUAUAAUAUAUAUUCGAUAUAAGUUCGAUUCUCUAAUCAUAAUAAUAAUACUAAUCAAAGGUUGCCCUUAAUAAUUUUACAUUUUUUUAUUUAAUCAUUAUUUAAAAUUAACGAAUUUCUUUUUUGCAUUGCAUUUUUACAGUAAACUAAUUUUCACUUACUGUUAUGUCCUCAGUAUUAACAGUAAAUGUAAAUAGAUGCAUUCCACCAAUUACCUUUUUGUGUACUAAAUCUGGUCUUUUCUCACUAGGAAUUUCGCGUUUUAACCAUAAUUCUAUUACCUCCAUUUUCCUUUUUUUUUUUUUUAAAUAGCGAAUCUCAUGAUUAUAUAUCAUUUAUUUAUAUUAUGGCUUCUAUUCACUAUUUCCCGUAUAUUCCUGUAGAGGAGCAAUUCCUAUAUUAGGGCCCAAUCCAACAAUCCUCCUAUUAAAAUUUUCCUUAUCCUAUCAAAUUCUAGUAAAUCUCACAUUUAGGUAAACGGUAGAAUAUAAACUGCUUCGGGGAAAUUGUGAAAGUAUACAGAACUUUUUGAUUACUAUAGAUUCAGUUUAGAUCAGCGGUCGCCAACCUUUUUCAUGAGUUAAUCAAUUUCGAAAGUUUUGGAAUAGAGAGUGAACUACUUAUCUGUAAAAUAUGUAAUACAUUUAUUAACAUCAAAUAAUAAAAAUACUGCUCUUACAAAAUAACCAGAGGUUUGUUUUUUAUGGUAGUGUUUCUUCAACACUUUUUUGGUCCCUUGUUAUUAGGGUUAAAUCAUCAGCAUAUGCUAUCAUUCAUUUUGAUUUAUUAAUGAUACUUCCAUCCAUAUUACAUGUCCUUAUUAUGCCAUCUGACCUUAUCUCAUGUUUUAUUUCAAACUCCUUAGAUGGCCAUUUGGUCUUUCUUUUGUCAUUACCCUUUCCCUAAAAUUUAGCAUAGUUAUUUUCAUUAAUUUUCAUAUUAACUUUUGGAUUAUGUCCUUUAUAAUGGUCCUCCUUUUCAGACUGUCGAAUGCUUAUUUGGAGUCGAUGAAUAAAAUUUGCAAUUCCAAUAUUGUGCUUAUAACAUUUUUCGAUCAAUUGUUUUAUAGUGUCAAUGGAAUCCACUGUUUUUAUUUUGUCUAAUAUCUUUUUUAUACAUACCCAAAUAAUAAACUAUUUUGUAAACAAUUCUUCAACUUUUCUUGGUUUUGUUUUCGUUUUUUCAUAUACUUUAUAAUUGUCCUACAUUUCAGACUGUUGAAUGCUUGUCGAUGAUUAGCAAUUACAUUCUAAUGUGCUCGUAGCAUUUUUCGAUCACUUGUUUUAUAGUAUGAAUGGCAUCUACUGUUGAUUUUUAUAGUCUAAAACUUUUUUGAUAUACCCCUGUUUCUGGUUCCACAACUUUCAAUAUUUUAUUUAUUAUUAUAUAUACAAUAUUAAACAAACUAAUCCAACUAUAAUUGCUACAUAUGCAGGGAUUUUAAAAUUGAUACAAAUUUUUUUCCCCAUUCACUUGAUAAAAUUUGUUAGAUUUUUAUUUGAAAUUUUACUUUAAUUCAGUUUCAGUCUCCAAUUUUUUUCACAUAAGUAGUAUUUUUACUUUCUGGAUACAACUUCCCUUAUCAGUUUAAUAAUAAAAUCAUUUUCAAGUGUAUUAAAGUAAUUUACAGACUUUACUAUUUCAUGAGUAUGAUCUUUUUCAUUUUUACUGGUGAGCCACCCCCUGUUCCCUUUACUUCCUAUUUUUCAAAAGCUGCUAUCUUUACUGGCUUCCGUUUCCUAUUCAAAAUUAGUUCAGUUUUCGAUAAUUGGCACUAAAUAUGAAGAAGAAGAAAUGUUUACUUAAGCCAACUGCCAAAGCCAAAUGAUAUUUAGAAACUUCUAAUUCACUAUUGGUAUUUUUUAGUUAAUUCUAUGCUGUACCUAUCAUAUUAUACAUUCAUUUUUAUUGUCUAUAUUGUUAGUCAAGGGGACAAGAUUAAAUUUGUGUUUUGAAUGUCUUUCAAUGUGGUAAGAAAAUUUCAUAACGACAUUUGUACAUAUUAUAAUCUCUGGUAAAAUCGUAUCUAUAAAAUGAAUUUUUUCAUAAAUGAUUACCGGCUCUGUAACAUUUAGAGUUAUUGUAUAUAUUAAAUUUAAGGUAUAUUUGUGAUAAAUAAAUAUGUGAAUGUAACUUUUAUUGAUUAAUUUAAAUCAAAUAUCUAGUAUAAAAUUUGUUACUACCGUCUUGAGUGAUGGGUACAAUGUCAAAUUCUAUUCUUUUCCACUAAUUUUAAUAAUUGUCUUUAUUCUCUUCUUGUAUCUUUAACUUUAAUGUUCGAAAAUGUUUUAUGGUUAAAAAUUAUGGUGUAAAAAUUCACUAUGACCCAUUUAUAGCUUACUUAAAAUUUAUUUCUUCCAUACAAUUACUACUGUGGCCACUCAAAUCUAAGUUGGUUUUUGCCUUGCCAACAAGUUACGUCCAUUUUUUAAAGAAGAAACUAUGAACAAUGCAUCGAAUUAUAUUUUUUGUUGUAUCAUCGAAGGUUUUUACAACUCCUGGACGACCUCCAUGGUGAGAAGAGACUAUUAUUCCAGUACUUCUAUAUCUAACAACUCCAAAAAAAAAUUAAUUUCAUAGAAAAGUGUUAUUUUCGAUGACCUACCCAACGUUUUCACAAUUUUAAACACAAUAGCAUUCACCUUUGUCUUUAUUGAGAUUUCUUUAUACAAAUUCAGAAUGUUUUGCUUCUCCGUAGACGAUAACUGGCCAUAAAUUGUAAAGCCCCCCUAUUUGGGGUGCGAAUGAUCUCUGCUAAUACUUGGGUCAUUUUUCAAAUUAGUCCCGACAAGAAUUGUUUUCAUAUUUUUAUAAAAUAAUAACAAGAACGCAAGAAAUAACAAAACGUUUACAAUUUAUACAAUUGUCAAUCAUAAUACGAGAACCGUUUUUUUCAACCUCCGAUCGCUCCCUGCAGACGCUACGCGGACAGAAGAAGACGGGCAUGCGCUGUAGGCGACUGCUAAGCUCUGGCACUACAAACUUCGCCAUUGUUGACGUCAGUCGGCGUUUUCUACAGACUGAAGGCCGUAGUGCUGCAGAAAUCCAUCGGAAAAUGAUUCGUGUGUAUGAGAAAAACUUCAUAGUGAUGGUGUUGUGCGUGAAUGGUGUCGUAAUAUUGUGCAUUAUGAAGGGGGCCAAGGAAGCAAAUCCGUCGUUUGAGAUGACCUGGUUCACCGAGUUGAUAGAAUGGUUAAAGAAAACCGCAGAUUCACCAUUACUGCUUUAUCUAUGGAAUUUCCAGAAGUGUCAACAUCUGUUUUGUACUCUAUUGUUACUAAACGGUUAGGCUACACUUUCUUUGAGUAUUGAGAGCAUUUCCACAUAUAUGACAAAUGUAUCAAUCUCUUCGGUGGUUAUGUCGAAAAGUAACCGUAAGUGUACCAAUCUAAUAAAAUUAUUGUUUUAUAUGAACUUGUCUUUUAUUCAUAGUCUAUCGGAGGUUGAAUAAAAAACGACCGUCGUAUAUGUCAAAAGUGCUGCGAUUUGACCAAUCAGAAAUCUACAAAAUUGUCGACUUAAAUUCAAAUACUCUUAGUUUAAAAACAGGGUAUAGUAACGAAUAUAUCUUUACUCCUUCGAGGUGUAUCUAAAAUUGUGCAGUACACAGUCAAUGUAAGAAAUGUGUAAUGUUUUCAGUAACUAUAAAUUUCUGAUAUACCAAGGGUCUAGGACAUUGCUGAAGCAGUGCAGAAUGUUCUCCAAUAAAUACAAUGUACAAAAAUUGUUAUCUAUCCCUAUGGUAACCUUCAACAAGUAUAGAUCAUAUUAUUUAUUCAUAUGUUGGUAUUGCAUAUUAGUCUGUACAUAUUUUGAAGUCAUAGUUUCAUUAAUUAAGAGACAUGUAAUCUUUCAGUGAAUUUAAAUAAAAAUUCAUCUGUCAACUUUUAUAAAAUAGAACCAAGUACUCUUAUACACGCUCCUUUUAAUGAUCUUAUUAUAAGUGAGGCUUGGCAUUGCAAAACUCACUGUAUCCAUUAUUGGAAAAUUUUUUUCCAAACUCAUUAAUCACAUCUAAAUAGCGAUUCUGAUAAGAAAAUUUAAACAGGGUUGCGGAAUUGUUUAAAUUAUAUCAUUUCAAAGUUUGAUUAAAGUGAGUUUUGCAGAGAAACUGUGGAUAAGGAAUAAUUUUUCACCGUCAUUAGAUGGAUAAAGGAAUAUUUGCACGAACACAAUUAAAAAUGUAUUAAUGUAAAAAAUUAGAUAAUUUUUAUAGUAAAAAAGCACUCAAAAAAUACAACCAGCAUUAAAGUUGAUAAAAUUCAUUAUUGAUAAAUGUUUUAAACUCUUACUGCAUGAUCCUCCUCAUGACCUUCACAUUUACACUCACCUUCAAGUGCUAAAUUGUCAGAAACUAUUGCAUGAUCAAUAACAGUUUUAUAAAAAUUGUAUUCUUCUAAAUGGCGCCACUCAUUUCCAAAGUGCUUGGAUAAUAAUUCGUCGAAUGUCAUUAAUCUUGUCUUGUUUCACAUGAUUUACUUCAUGUAGUUUAACUUUUGAUAUGUUGAUACCCUUCUUAGAAACAAACUUGAAUUGGCCUACAUCUGAGUUGAAGAGAAGCUCUCCAACUAUCGAGAAGAUUUCUUGAAUAAAAAGCGUUUUGCUUCGUUAAAUUGGAAAUGCCAUCUAGCAGGCGUCUUGAAGUAAGCAGCAUUGAAACUUCUCCAGUCGUACACUCAACUUCUUCUCCCAGUUUCGAUACUGUGCAAUAUUCAGAAAAAAUUGAAUGGUAUUCAGAAGGUAAAUAGUAAAUAGGUAAAUAAUUAAAUAUAAAUAAUCUCGAUUAUUAUUUACCCUUUACUAUUAAUGCAAAGACUCUAUCGGGUGGUAAAAAAGAGUGUUCUGUAAUAGGAAACACCAAUUCAAUCGACUUAAUGUUGAUUGGUGACGCAUUGCAAAAAAAAUAUGUUGAAAUAGCUAUCAUUAUCGAAUUUCGGUUCUGUCCUCCACAUCAGCACAGAGUAUUAUCCUUGAAUAGGAGGUCAAGUCCAACUAUCUCAGGAGGUGUAAAACUGCUGAUGCAAUUUCGUUUGAACUUUUUCUUCGUUUAAGUUCCAUCCAAAUAUAGCAAAAUAUGUUGUCCGGUGUGUUUGAAAAAUCCCGUCACAAUGGUGAAAUUGUAAAUAUACAAUUGUCUCCAGUAAUACGCACUUUGGUCUUGAAUCUUUGAUAAAACCAACUUUUUUUGACAGUCGAAUGAUAUAAUAAGUAGGUCGCUUUGUUCGUCUUUUAGCUCGUUAUAAAAAGCUUUGUACCUUGCUUUGAGAACAGCAUGUUCGAUAAUCUAUUAUUUGUUUCUUGAUCAUCUCUCUUUAUUUUCCCUUUGAGCUCAAUGCAUCCGUUAUUGGUGAACCGAACCCUAUGUUGUAUUCUUAUCAGGAGUUUUGGAGUGACACCCAUUUUUCUCGUGUGGUUCAGAAUCCACCGUUACCUUUGAUAUUGGAAAAAUAUGGUUAUAGUGAGUUUUGCAAUGCCACGCCUCAAGUAAACUGUAUUAACAAUAUAAAAUUUCUGAUAUAAUACUAUUAAUAUUUAUUGUAAUAUCAAAUAUUUUGUAAAAUAAAUGCUUUAAUUUUUGUGCCUAGUCCAAUAUUAUGUCUAUAAAAAGUAACUCUCGCACAUUGUGAUUUGUGACAUUUGGCACUAAGAAUACAUAUAAAGUGGGGCCACAUAAUAUAGUUUUAUAUCGAAGCACUGCUAUGUGUAAAUGUCAUUGUUUAGAAUUUUUCCGAUUAUCCAAACGAAAUAAUUUAUAUUUUGUUAUAUAGUGCGUAAUUAACAAACUUUUUAUGCCAAUUCAUUAAUCGAAAUAUUAAUUAUUUCGUGUGAGUAGUUGUAAUGGUACAGUAUACAACACGUGCCGUAACUUAAUAUUUCAUAUUUAUGUAAUAUGACAGAAUCUUGUGAAAUAUUUUAUUUUCCGCACUAUCGUAAAUGUGUUGUAUCAGUAUGUGAAUGUUAAUUCAUAAUCUUUUAGAUAUCGUUUUGGAAUAAAAGUAGUUGGAUGUUUUGAUAAGUAGUAUUAGUAUUGUUCAAAUAAUAUUUGUUAGAAAUACAAUUUUUAUGUGUGAGCAAAAGUCUCUUGCAAAAAAUCUAUAGCUUCCAUUCUUUUUCUGAUUUCAGCAUCUCAAAGCCAUAGUCUUAACAUUAUAAUAAAUAAUCUAUGUUGUUAUAUUUUGGUAAAGAAAAAAUAUCAAAGGAAACAAUGAAGAAAAAAAAAUAAAGAAAAUAUAAAGUUAAAUUAUCAAAAUAAAAACUUAUCUCAUCAAUGUUUCCUCCUCUGGCCCUAAUAACAGCUUCCAAUCGCUUUUUCGUGGAUCGAAUGAGUUUCUUUACUCCAUCUUGUUCGAUGUUAACCCAUUCUUCAGUAAGAAUCAUUUUGAGGUCGAAUUCCGUGACUGCUGCAUGAUUUAUCGCGCGAACUUUUCUCUUGAGUUAAUUUCAUAAAUGCUCGAUAGGAUUUGAGCCCGGGCUUCGCGCUGGCUUAUCCGUAGCAGCAAUUUCGAAAUCGUGUAGAUACUGCCUUAUCCAGUAUAUGGACGGGCAUUGCCCUGCAUUAGCAUGAAGCUUUCGUCGAUAAAUCUGACGUAGGGUACGACGUGAUCCCCUAAAACCAACUCAAUUUUUGCUUCAAUUCCCGCCCAAAUAAUCCAGGAACCACCUCCAAAAGCCACGUUUCUCCAGGUCUGCUGUAGAUUCUCCUCUUGUAUCGCUUCAAUGCAGGCACACUCUGUUUUCGUCUGAUAUCAGAACGAAGCCUCAGUGUUCGUUAGUCCAAUUAAAGCGUUCUCUGGCAAAUCGUAGACGAACUACUCGGUGGGUUGGGGUAAAUUUGGGGCCAGUAGCUGGACUUUUUGGCUCAAUGUUAGCUGCCUUAAGUCUCGUUCUAUCUGUCAAGCCACUGCUCGUGUUUCUCUGAGCUCUUGUUGGACUUUAGUGAGACCUCUAUGAUCUGAUUACAAUCUCUCUCGGAUGUGCACCUUUUUCUUCCGGAUCCUCGUCUACAAUGGAAGUUACCAGUCUAUUAGUAAACAGAAGACUAACUCAUAGGAUUAUAACUCAGGUAUAAUUCUUGUUUGUUGUUAAAGGAGGUGUAUAUCGGUUGACGUUUGAUAGCUAACUGAUAGUGGUAGGUUGGGUAGAUAAACUUUUAUAAGCGUAAGAAAUACAAUUUUUAUGUGUGAGCAAAAAGUUUCUUUCAAAAAAUCUAUAGCUUCCAUUCUUUUUCUGAUUUCAGCAUCUCAAAGCUAUAGUCUUAACAUUAUAAUAAAUAAUCUAUGUUGUUAUAUUUUGGUAAAGAAAAAAUAUCAAAGGAAACAAUGAAGAAAAAAAAAUUAAGAAAAUAUAAAGUUAAAUUAUCAAAAUAAAAACUUAUCUCAUCAAUGUUUCCUCCUCUGGCUCUAACAACAGCUUCCAAUCGCUUUUUCGUGGAUCGAAUGAGUUUCUUUACUCCAUCUUGUUUGAUGUUAACCCAUUCUUCAGUAAGAGUCAUUUUGAGGUCGAAUUCCGUGACUGCUGCAGGAUUUAUCGCCCGAACAUUUGUCUUAAGUUCAUCUCAUAAAUGCUCGAUAGGAUUUGAGUCCGGGCUUCUCGCUGGCCUAUCCAUAGUAGCAAAUCCGAAAUUGUGUAAAUACUGCAGUACGGACCUGCAGUAUAUGGAUGGACAUUGUCCUGCAUUGGCAUGAAGCUUUCGCAGAUAGAUUAAAACCCUUUGCUGAAAGAAUAAUAGGCGACUACCAUUAUGGGUUUAGAAUUAGGAUGUCUAAUACUGAUCAGAUUUUUAGUAUCAGGAAUGUUUUGGAAUAGCUUUUUGAAUAAAACAUCAAAUUAUAUCACCUUUUCACAGAUUUCAAGCAAGCAUAUGAUUGUAUAAAUAGAGUAAAGUUGUACAUGGAAAAUAAUAAGACCUGUUGAAAUAACUGGCAGUCACAGAAGUUGAAGUGUAAAUAGAGGCAAAGCUUCCCAACCAAAAGUGAGAAAAGAAAAGGUGAUAUACUGUCAAUUACCUUCGUUUGGAAAACAGGCUUUCGUGGGCGUCGUCCAUUGCUUGAACGUUCCUUGGGCUUUUAGGCCGUCGCACACUGGGGCAAAAUGGUCCUAUACCUGGCAAUAAAUUAGGAACUCUGUAAAUAUAUGCCAAUUUUGAUUAUUAUUAAGUGUUAUUACUACAAAUAAAACACACAGUUAA